GGGUAUGUGGAAGUCAUUGCCAACAGGAGAAACACUUCACAAGCCAGACAAACCCCAUUCCAGGACCUGAGCGACCUAUUGUUAUCCUUAGAGGACUGGGUGGGUGCCAACCCAAUGACAUCAUCAACAAAAAGCUGGGGAGGGAUGACCCACCACCAGAGGGCUUUGGAGGGGGUGGGGGUAGCAGGUUCUUCCUCCACCUGCUGCAGCUACCAGCCAACCUCCAGCCCUGAGCUGGACUCAGACAUAGUCAGUCGAGUCCACAUCACAGAGGAGCUCACAGAGCGCGGCCCUGAGCCGACUGGCUGUCAUAGAGAACCGCAUCCGAAAUUGUCAACAGGCCAGGGACGGACCAGCGAUGUUGGCUGAUAGGAGUAUACCAACAGCCCCCCAGGAGAAGGAGAAGCCCCUGCCUGCCCAGUCCAGCAGUGACCUCAGCAUGAAGGAAACGCUUCCUGAAGAAGAGAGUGCAUGUAUCACCUAUACCUGCUGUAGCGCCAAAGGAGAAAAGCCUGGAUCUUGAUGCCAUGCCAUAGGGUAGUUCCAAACCCGGUACUCCAAUAAGGGUGGCCGGUAGAGGUAUGACUCUAGACAGUGAUGAGGAGGAUAUGAGGAAGCUCCUGGGGGGCUCUUUUGAGUCGUCAGUGUAUAGCCUGCACAAAGAAGCAAGAGAAUCCUCACAGAUGACAACUAGAAAGUUGUUCAUCAAAAGCAGCCAGGUUUCCCCCUCACCUCCACUGGCAGACCGAUCAUCGUCAGUCAGAGCCCAGUCCCGCUCUCCACCCUCUCCUCCGUGCAGCGGAUCACCCAGUCGCUUCUCCAGCCGAGCCCUGGACCAACGCAGUCCUCUCUCCAUCCGCAGUGCCUCAGUAGUCCUCUCUCCAUCGCCCUAUCCCCCCCUACGCCCCCUCCCCAGGCAGUCAGGGCUCCACACGGGCCAGGCACCUCAAACCCUCCCGGUCCUCAGUGUCAGCCCUCAGUGAGGUGUGCUCCCUGGUGGAGCUCUUCUCUGAGGCCCUGGAUGCUCUGGCGGAGCUCUUCUCUGAGGACCUGCCCUCCAAUGAUGCCGUCAGUGAGAGAAGUGGAGUCUCUGAUGAAUUCAACAUUAAUAUUUUGUCACUGGACGACCUCGCACCGGUCACGCUUGGAAUGUCGGAGAAAACAAACAACAACAAAAAAGCCAGUGGUACUGGAGGUGUGAGGAGAGGAUCCCAUCAGUAGAGCCUAGGGAGGACUACAAGAGUGACAUUGAGAGUGAGAUCAAGACUGAAACAGACAGGAGUAGUGUCAGCGAGAUCUCCGAGCACCUGGGAGACAGAGAUGGGGACAAAGACGCGUUGGAGGUCAGCAAGGUCAUGGACUACAGCGUCUCAGACACAUCUUGGAGCGACAAGUACUCCAGUGUCUCGGAGAAGGACAGUCAGUCCCACAUCACCCACACAGACUACAGUAGAAUCGCUGAUUCAUUCAGUGGCAGCAGGGCUUUCUAUUCCAGAUCAUCUCGCUCCCACUCUGUGGCUGAAACGAUCAUGCCGUCUCAAGUUUUGAAGAGACGCUGGCCCAGGUGUGUGAGAGAGGCCCCGGUGCAGACCCAACCAGACGGACUGGCCUUCACCUGGUCAGCGGUGCAGACCCAACCAGACGGACUGGCCUUCACCUGGUCAGCGGUGCAGACCCAAC
RNAcentral lists this long non-coding RNA (1680 nucleotides) under Salmo salar (Atlantic salmon). RNAcentral describes it as "lncRNA (ENSSSAG00000087926.1)". The record is from RNAcentral. Lineage: Eukaryota; Metazoa; Chordata; Actinopteri; Salmoniformes; Salmonidae.